CCGGUGCCAGCACUGACGUGAACCCUGCGGCUCUGGAAGGACUCAAACCGGCCCCACAGCACCGCAGGGACAGCGUGGGGCCACCCCUGCCCCACAGCCCCCUCCCCACACCCCCAGAGAGCCCGGCAGGGGAGAAACAAAGAGACUUCAAAGAGAGCCCAACUUUUCAGGGAAGGCUGUGGCCAGCAAUGACACCAAAACAGCUGGAGAAUAUCCACAGGAGUUCAGCUCAAAAACUUCCCAAGGGAAGUUUUGGACCCUCCAAGCUGAGGCUGGGUUUCAGCCUCAAGCACUGCAUUUCAGAGGGACCUGGUGUGUGUUGUGCGGGGGAAAAAAUCCCUCAGACAGCUCAGGGCUGUGGCUAUCUAGGGCAGAAAGAGCCAGAUCCAGAGAUCAGCCUCAUCACCCCGGAGCUGCACUGAGCUGGCAGAGCCAGACCUGCCCCACGAGGCAGGUGGGGCAGGGAUGAGCACACUCUCCCCUCUCUGACUGUCCUACAGCUGCUGAAGUACUGCUGGCCAAAAACAUCAUCUGUGUUCCUGCGAAGUAAAUGAAAAAUGCCGCAAAAAUGAGAAUA
Molecule: long non-coding RNA, 577 nt
Organism: Vidua macroura (Pin-tailed whydah)
Lineage: Eukaryota; Metazoa; Chordata; Aves; Passeriformes; Viduidae
Exons: 2
Source: RefSeq, a predicted model, not a curated record